UUAAUUUGUUCUUCAUUCUCAUACCUAAGCUAAGGAAGGUAGACCGAAAAUAGUUCUUUAAUUUCUCCCUAAUUUUCCCAAAUUCAAAGUGAAAGAAAGGGUCGCGAGGCUGAAUGUUCACAAAAUCUUCCCAGAUUCAUAAAAUCUCCAUGUUUCACAAAGAAAGGAAGUAGACGAAGGUGGUUAAGGCGGUGGCGGAGGCUGACUGUUGGAGCAGUGGAACUUCAGGCGGUGGAAGGUUGCUGGAGCGCCGUAACUGCGAAUAUUCAUCUUGCAUGUCGCUGAUUGCUCGAAACUCUGUUUAAGGUCUAUUUUUGUGUCUGAGAAGAUGGUCGUAGGAGUGGGAUUCGACUGCCUUUGGGUUCCUGCUUCACGAGUAGAUUAUAAAGUUCUGUUCUUUUUAUAUCCAAGUGCACAUCGUAUAAUUACCGGUGCAUGGCGAGCUAGAUGGAGAUGAAUGAAGUACAAUGAUUAUAUAUUGUCAUCCAACAAAUGGAGCGUACACGUCGGUGACUAAUUUUAUUUAGUUCGAGCUUGUGAAGAUUAGGAUUUGUAUUUUGGAAGAAUUUUAAUUAGUAAACUUUUAUUAUUUAUUAUUAGUUAGUAUCGAUAGUGUAACAUAUAUAUGGAAACAAUAUUUUGUAAUGUAACGUACAUAUUAUAUAUACUUCGUUUAUUGU
This is a long non-coding RNA of Chenopodium quinoa (quinoa), 680 nucleotides long. RefSeq lists it as uncharacterized. Lineage: Eukaryota; Viridiplantae; Streptophyta; Magnoliopsida; Caryophyllales; Amaranthaceae. The transcript has 3 exons. The record is from RefSeq and is a predicted model, not a curated record.